UAGGGAAUCUUCGGCAAUGGACGAAAGUCUGACCGAGCAACGCCGCGUGAGUGAAGAAGGUUUUCGGAUCGUAAAACUCUGUUGUUAGAGAAGAACAAGGACGUUAGUAACUGAACGUCCCCUGACGGUAUCUAACCAGAAAGCCACGGCUAACUACGUGCCAGCAGCCGCGGUAAUACGUAGGUGGCAAGCGUUGUCCGGAUUUAUUGGGCGUAAAGCGAGCGCAGGCGGUUUCUUAAGUCUGAUGUGAAGGCCCCCGGCUCAACCGGGGAGGGUCAUUGGAAACUGGGAGACUUGAGUGCAGAAGAGGAGAGUGGAAUUCCAUGUGUAGCGGUGAAAUGCGUAGAUAUAUGGAGGAACACCAGUGGCGAAGGCGGCUCUCUGGUCUGUAACUGACGCUGAGGCUCGAAAGCGUGGGGAGCAAACA
Molecule: ribosomal RNA, 427 nt
Filed under: uncultured bacterium
Lineage: Bacteria
Description: partial 16S ribosomal RNA
Rfam family: Bacterial small subunit ribosomal RNA
Source: RNAcentral